AGAGAGAGGAAGAGGAGGAGGAGGAAGAGGAAGGCUAAGCUGCUCUCAGAGAUCAAAGAGCAGCUCUUUUCUAGGACAGAGACUAACUGAUCACUUGGUUACCUGGUUACAGGUUCUGACCCAGUUCUGGUUCUGGUUCCACCUCAAUUUGGAGAAUAUACAACAGAACCGCCAUUAGGACAGAAACCCAACUGGACCCGAACCACCUGGAGACAGAAACACUGGAUCCUUUCUGUUCUGCUGAUCCUAACUGAUCAAUAAUCAAUGAUCAGUUCCUGAUCAGCCUCUGGUCUCCGAUGGGUCAUGUGACCAGCUGCUGUGAUCUGAAUAUUAAACUGCAAGACAUUUAGAUCAGCAGUGCAGCUCCAACUUGCAGCGGAAUCCGUGUGCUCCUGACUGAAGCAGCGAUCCUCCUGAGAGCGUUCACAGGAAGUGAGGCGAUCUCUGCUUCCUGUCUCACUGAUGCUCCGAGAUGAAACGAAUCGUUUUAAUCCUGUUUUUAAUAUUUGUAAUGUGUCGCCGUUCCUCCUGUUGCAGCGUUUAUUUAUAGAUCACAUCUGGACGGUUUGAACAUCUGGCAGCAAACAGAAAGAUCCAGAACGACGGGAUCCGAUUUCUGAGGCGGAAACAACUUCAGACGAACUGAUUCACUUUAGAUGAACCGAUUCACUUACAGGUGCGCCAUGCAGAAAGGCGGCAGACGGAAGAAUCCCAUCGGACGUCUCGGCAUUCAGGUCACUGAUCAGAACUCGCCUCUAGAAACACUGUUGACCUUCAUCAUCAUCAUCAGUGCUGUACAGUCCAGGCCUAAGAGGGAGCUAAUUAAGAAUUAAGAUGAACGGAUUAAAUUAGACUCCAGUGGAGGCGGAGCUUCACCUGUGGAC
This is a long non-coding RNA of Poecilia latipinna (sailfin molly), 884 nucleotides long. RefSeq lists it as uncharacterized. Lineage: Eukaryota; Metazoa; Chordata; Actinopteri; Cyprinodontiformes; Poeciliidae. The transcript has 3 exons. The record is from RefSeq and is a predicted model, not a curated record.